This 28-nucleotide non-coding RNA is filed under the name Mus musculus (house mouse). The record is from RNAcentral. Lineage: Eukaryota; Metazoa; Chordata; Mammalia; Rodentia; Muridae.
UAGGACCUGAUGGGACUUCCAUUUUUAA